GAAAGGAGGACUGAGGCUGGGUGAACAGGGUAUGGCCAGAUGGGGAGAACAGGAAUCAGGCAUCAGGAGGGGGCGGGGGUUGAGAAAAGAGCUGGGGCUGGGGCUCUGCACACUCGCUCACCUCCCAUGUGGCCUAGGGCCUAUCUCUGAGCGGUGGGGACCAGGAGGACGCGGGGAGGAUCCUGAUCGAGGAGCUGAGGGACCGAUUUCCCUACCUGAGUGAAAGCUACUUAAUCACCACGGAUGCCGCCGGCUCCAUCGCCACAGCUACACCGGAUGGUGGAGUUGUGCUCAUAUCUGGAACAGGCUCCAACUGCAGGCUCAUCAACCCUGAUGGCUCCGAGAGUGGCUGCGGCGGCUGGGGCCAUAUGAUGGGUGAUGAGGGUUCAGCCUACUGGAUCGCACACCAAGCAGUGAAAAUAGUGUUUGACUCCAUUGACAACCUAGAGGCGGCUCCUCAUGAUAUCGGCUACGUCAAACAGGCCAUGUUCCACUAUUUCCAGGUGCCAGAUCGGCUAGGGAUACUCACUCACCUGUAUAGGGACUUUGAUAAAUGCAGGUUUGCUGGGUUUUGCCGGAAAAUUGCAGAAGGUGCUCAGCAGGGAGACCCCCUUUCCCGCUAUAUCUUC
RNAcentral lists this small RNA (629 nucleotides) under Pongo abelii (Sumatran orangutan). RNAcentral describes it as "retained intron". Lineage: Eukaryota; Metazoa; Chordata; Mammalia; Primates; Hominidae. The record is from RNAcentral.